UUGUUUUGAAUUAAGCAUUUCUUAGGUUAGAAAUGAGAGAUUUCGGGUUACGUACGCUUAACUUUGUAGGUUUAUUUGAAAAACAAUUAAUACAGGAACUUGAUCCACCCCUAUGACGAGAUAUGUGCGAUAUUUAUAAAAUGGGAUGAAAUAAACUUGUAAAAUACCUGAAGUCAUUGGCAAGUUCAGGCAACGUUACUUAACGACAGAUACCUUCGCUGAUACAAAUAUUCUGCAUGAGCAUGAAUAAGCAUAAUGGAUUAUCGGAAGCCCCGUUUGAAGAUUAUUUAUUAUAAGUUUCAGCCUUUUACGAAGAGAAAUAUGUUUCGUACAACAUAUGUGGUAUUGUCGAAGUUGUGCCACGAUACAAAACAAUAACAUAUUGUAAACUCGUUGACAAUAAAGGAUACAAAUUGUCGUAGCACUUAACCACA
Molecule: long non-coding RNA, 434 nt
Organism: Photinus pyralis (common eastern firefly)
Lineage: Eukaryota; Metazoa; Arthropoda; Insecta; Coleoptera; Lampyridae
Exons: 2
Source: RefSeq, a predicted model, not a curated record